Molecule: small nuclear RNA, 107 nt
Organism: Ailuropoda melanoleuca (giant panda)
Lineage: Eukaryota; Metazoa; Chordata; Mammalia; Carnivora; Ursidae
Source: Ensembl
AUGCUCACUUCAGCAGCACAUAUACUAAAAUUGGAAUGAUACAGAGAAGAUUAGCACGGCCCCUGCACAAGGAUAACACGCAAAUUUGUGAAGCAUUCCAUGUUUGU